UCUAGAAAGCUGUUGUUUAAUAUCAUUUUUCCAUUAAUUAAAAAAAUAGCCAAUUGAAUACCUUUUCUGUCCUGUUAACUCUGCUAGGUUUUUGCACUUGUUAUUAUGCUUUUUUUUUUUUCCCACAAAAUUAGAAUAAGGUUGGCAUUAUGGUCUCUGUUUCACAGAUGAGGAAUCUGAAGCCUGAAAAAGUUCAGUGGUUUAUCCAGGGUCUCACAACCCGUAUAUAACAAGUCAAGAUUCAAACCCAGGUCCUUGUACACAUACUUCAUCUUCUUUUUCAAAUAAGGACAGUGGAGUUAGUGAAUGCACAACCCCAACGUACAGAGGCCUCUUACUGGCUAGGAGCUCACUCCUCCUUCCCUAAAAGACAGCAGAACAAACUGAGUCCAGGUUCUCUCUCUUUUGGUAGCUUCCCAAGAGGCUGAUGUUUUCUUCUCCUUCCUUUACAGCUUUGCAAAUAUGUGCUUUUGACAUCAGUGUACAGUUUGGCAUCUGCUUUGGAAAUAUUCUUGCAAAUAAGGCAGAAAAGACAUCUUUUGUGAAAGGGUCUUUGAUGGAGCCCGAAUUUGCUGCAAAAAUACGAAGAGCUAGACUUGGCAAUCCAGACCUGGGAGUCAGCUCCAUAAGGGUUACUUCACUGCAGCCUGCAGGUCAGUGGCUUCCCACACAGGAACACAUUGCUAUGACAAGCCAGGCUUGUUCCCAGCUUGGACUCAUGCCAACCAUACCCUUUGCCUGGAAUGUCUUACCUCAGGUCUAGGGACCAACUUCUGUAGCUAAUUCAGUUCUCAGAUUAAAUGUCACCUCCUUAGACUGCCGUUCCCUGAUUGUUCAUUCUCGAGUGGUCCAGUGCAGCCUCUCCAUCACACCCCUCUUUGAUUUUCUGUAGAACAUGUACCAUGCCCUGAGAUUUUCUUGUUUAUUUGCUUAGUGCUUAUGUGCCCUUCACUAGAAUUUAAGCUCAAUGAGAACAGCAGCUUUGUCUUUCCAUUUCUCUCAUUAGCUCCUGGCACAGUGUCCUGUAGUAAUAGAAUAACAGGAACUCAAGAAAUAUUUGCAGAAUGUUGAAGGAAGAUAUUAUACUUUCUUGCACCAUAAAGACCAAAGUGCUCUACCUAACUUUUAAAGAGGAAAUGGUAGCCACUUAAAAACAAAAAAGCAACCAAAAAAAGCAACUGAAUAAAAGCAUAUACUUUAAAAAUCUUGCUUGUGUUUUAACUUUUUGCAAAAGGAGACAUAAUUAAAGUGUUUCAGUCUCCCCCUGGACCUCUGACAGCAAAAUUAGCAUGAAGGAGAACAGUACGUAAUAGAAAGUGAAGGUAAGCAUUAAACCGUUGUUUGUCUCAUGCAAAUUGCACAAUCUAAUUCUGAUUCAUGAUGGAGGAAAAAAAAAAACACCCUCUUUUCUUUUGAAGUCAGAAGUGAUCAAUGUCAGCUGAAAUGCUUCAGAAAUGCCUUAACUUUGGGUAUGGACUUUAUGUAAAGGAGUAUUUAUUGGACACUUUUGAAAUGCUGUCAACUACCCUGGCACUGGGGUAACAAUGAUAAAAAGGCCAAGUCCUCUCUCUCCCUCUCCCAAGGAGUUCACAGUCUAUAGGGUGGUAGAGAUAAGCAACACAACAGUGUGAGAAGUGGUAUAAAUAUGGGGUGUCGCAAAAGCUCUAGGGAUGUGCCGGUGGCUUCAUGAAAAAUGUGGCUUUGCAGUAAUGAAGUUGAAGAAAAUUUAACAGUCUUCAGAGAUGUGCCCUAAUAGUAACAGCAGCUGAUGGAUAAAUAAGAAAUGUGCAGAAAUCAAGUUUAACAAUGGACUUUCAGCAGGUGUGAUGAGUCAGUCAAUCACCAGGCUGUUACUGAGUGCUGCCCCUGUACCAGAACUCUCUGGGUGCUGUGUGUUCAUCUUUCAAGAUGCUCACAGCGUACCGUCCUGCUGGGUCAGUGGAGGCAUCCAAAAUGCACAGAAGAUUGCUUCCUUUCUUCACCGGGCUUUGGAUCUCAGUAGUCCACAAGAAGAGUGUCUGUUGGCACUGUCAAAGCAAUCAGUGUGCCUUUAUUUUACCCCACUGGCAUGCAGACCUUCUGACCAGACCCUCAAAGGAGGUUGAAAUGGAAAGGGAGUCUGUCAGAUAAACUCAAAGGCCAUCUGUAGGCUCUGGGAAUUUACUCCAGAUCUUUUGGGAAAAUGUAUGUCCUCACUCUUGUUGCUGUUGCAGCAGAUAUCUUCCCUUCUGAAAAGCUAUUCAUCUCUUUCUGUUUUGUAUGCAUCUCCUGGAUCGGGCCCAGUUCUGCUGAGAUGGGUGGGGUAAUUUGAUUUAUGACAGCAGAGAAAUAGGCUUUCAGUUAUUUUUUGAGUCAGAAACAUCUUAGAACACCAAAAUAAAUGGUGACAGGAAGUACAGUCCAUGCCAAAUGCCCUGCAUCGUGUUGAGUUAGGGUGUCAGAUUUAAAGAGAAUGUUGAUAGCAUUUACUCAUUAAGAAGUUUGCUGCUUCCUUGCUCAGGAAAGCAUGAGAUUGAAUCCUCCAAAACGUUUACCCUCUUCCCCAUUCUGGUGUCUUUGCUCAAACCUGGCUGCUUCUUGAAUUUCUUCUUCCUGUCACUACGGUUUUGAUUCAAGUGAUUUCAGGGAGAAUGACGUAGCCGGGAUAAUGCUGCAGUUUCUUCCUCUGCACAGCCUAGCUACUGGUCACUGCAGCUCUUCCUAGUAGUGCCUGGUUGGGUGUGUGAGUGGGGGUGAUGGUGAGAGCAAGGCCACUGACACCCCUAGUAGGGAUGGGGGAAGCAGACAGCUGAGCUGACUGGAAGACUCCAGCUGGCACACUGCCAUCACACAUACACCUAGCGGCAAGUACACACCAUCCCUGCCUCUGUAAGUCCCUGGAAGGCUAUCUGAUUGUAGUUCAUCCAGUAACCCAAAGACAGAGCUCUACGUUCCCGGGGUUAGCAGUGACGGAGAUGAAAACCAACAUUUCCUGUGUACUUACAAGCAGAAAAUAUUAAGAAUGCCUUGCCCCAACAAGCAGAAAAUAUCAAUGAAUUCAGUAAGGGUUUAAAUAUAGUGCCUAACCUUAUUAAGAAGAGAUUGGAGAUAUUUGGGCCAUGUCACCAAAGCUUUUAAAUCAACAUUAUGGGAAGUAACUCCCACAGAUCUUGCCAAAGACAGAUAUAUGGGUUGCAGUUUUGAUAUAUAGUGUGGCAUUUGAGAAUGUACUUAUAUCUAAUGGGUCCCAGAGUGUUAAUUACUUUUUUAGUUAGAGUGAAUUAUUACACAUAUUUAAAUGAAACGAUGAAGACAACAGCAGUAGAAAUAGUAAAGAACCACAACUUUUCCCUUCCAUACACACCUUGCUUCAACCACCACCAUCACCAUCACAACCACAGAUAACUGGCAUAACUGGCACCGUCAUAGACCCAACACCAGGAAGUCUAUUUAUAGGCAUGAUCUCAUUUAACUAUUACAGAAAAACCUACACAGAAAAUAUCAUUAUCAUUUCCAUUCUACAGGUGGAAAAAGUUGAGUUUUUGAAAGGUUGUAAACUGACCCAUGGUCCCGUAGUUGACAAAGUGCAGAGUCUAUCUUAACAAGCUUUGCAAUUUCAAAGACCUUGCUCUCUGACAUAAUACAGCUUUCUCUUAAUGAGAAGUGGCUACGAGAAGAGGGAUGUCCCACUUUCCCUCCAGUAUGUAUUUCCCAGGCUUUAGUUUGACCUCUCAUCGGGAUCAUGCAUUUCCAACUUUCAACUAAUGGUUUAUUCUUAUAUGUAUCAUCCGGCCUUUCUUAAAACAUAAACCCACCCACAAAACGAAUGCCACUAAAUAAAUACCAGAUCAAGAUAGUAUCUUUAAGUUUUGCCUUUAAAAAAUUCCUUCCAAAAGAAUGAUAAAUUACACUGCUUGGUGUAAUGCUAACUUCCUCCCCUUCAGUUACUUGCUUAUGUGAUCCUCUCCUUCUCUGUUCCUGUCCUUUCUGUAAACCCUGAUGAGGUUGACUUGAAACCUGGCAAUUUGGAGGCUUUUUCACUUCUUCCUUAGGAACAGCUAGCAGUGAUUUAUUUCCUACCUGUGAGCUGUAUAGACCACACCUCUCCCUCGCAGCCUUAAGAGCAAGGAGUCAGUCUUGUCUUAGGCCCAGACAUGUUUUCCUAAUUUGCUGAUGGACUCAGUCAGUUUCCUGCUGGCCUCUGGCUCUUUCCUGCCAGCAUUAUCUGCAUUGGGGUUUGCCAGAUGCUUCCACUGGGCCUUGUUUAUCCAGGUUAAAUUGUUAAUGCGGUUGCACCUCUGUUCUUCCCACCAGACUAUGAUUCCAUGGCAGGGACAAAUUUGUAGUUACUUUUGUAGUUCUGGUGCCUGGGGUGGGCCAGGUAUGGUGGGUAGGACUGCUGUAUAAAAUGGAAGGAAGGAAG
This 4402-nucleotide long non-coding RNA is filed under the name Macaca mulatta (Rhesus monkey). Its description in RNAcentral is "lncRNA (ENSMMUG00000059181.1)". The record is from RNAcentral. Lineage: Eukaryota; Metazoa; Chordata; Mammalia; Primates; Cercopithecidae.